UAGGGUUCUAUUCCGGAGAGGGAGCCUGAGAAACGGCUACCACAUCCAAGGAAGGCAGCAGGCGCGCAAAUUACCCAAUCCCGACACCGGGGAGGUAGUGACAAUAAAUACUGAUACAGGGCUCUUUUGGGUCUUGUAAUUGGAAUGAGUACAAUUUAAAUACCUUAACGAGGAACAAUUGGAGGGCAAGUCUGGUGCCAGCAGCCGCGGUAAUUCCAGCUCCAAUAGCGUAUAUUAAAGUUGUUGCAGUUAAAAAGCUCGUAGUUGAACCUUGGGCCUGGCUGGCCGGUCCGCCUCACCGCGUGCACUGGUCCGGCCGGGCCUUUCCUUCUGGGGAUCCCCAUGCCCUUCACUGGGUGUGGCGGGGAACCAGGACUUUUACUUUGAAAAAAUUAGAGUGUUCAAAGCAGGCCUUUGCUCGAAUACAUUAGCAUGGAAUAAUAGAAUAGGACGUGCGGUCCUAUUUUGUUGGUUUCUAGGACCGCCGUAAUGAUUAAUAGGGAUAGUCGGGGGCAUCAGUAUUCAAUUGUCAGAGGUGAAAUUCUUGGAUUUAUUGAAGACUAACUACUGCGAAAGCAUUUGCCAAGGAUGUUUUCAUUAAUCAGUGAACGAAAGUUAGGGGAUCGAAGACGAUCAGAUACCGUCGUAGUCUUAACCGUAAACUAUGCCGACUAGGGAUCGGGCGAUGUUAUUAUUUUGACUCGCUCGGCACCUUACGAGAAAUCAAAGUCU
RNAcentral lists this ribosomal RNA (732 nucleotides) under Kellermania dasylirionicola. RNAcentral describes it as "SSU rRNA". It matches the Rfam family "Eukaryotic small subunit ribosomal RNA", at positions 371 to 1106 of the family's 1831-position model. Lineage: Eukaryota; Fungi; Ascomycota; Dothideomycetes; Botryosphaeriales; Planistromellaceae. The record is from RNAcentral.